UGGUGGAUAUGCAAGUGGGUAAAGCGAUCUAACUGUAAAUUAGGUGUCCAUGUGACUACGUGGGUUCAAAUCCUACUCCACCAA
This 84-nucleotide transfer RNA is filed under the name Caudoviricetes sp. RNAcentral describes it as "tRNA-Tyr". It matches the Rfam family "tRNA". Rfam says of the family: Transfer RNA (tRNA) molecules are approximately 80 nucleotides in length. Their secondary structure includes four short double-helical elements and three loops (D, anti-codon, and T loops). Lineage: Duplodnaviria; Heunggongvirae; Uroviricota; Caudoviricetes. The record is from RNAcentral.